AGUCGACGGGAUCCAUCAAGCUUGCUUGGUGGUGAGAGUGGCGAACGGGUGAGUAAUGCGUGACCGACCUGCCCCAUGCUCCGGAAUAGCUCCUGGAAACGGGUGGUAAUGCCGGAUGUUCCACAUGAUCGCAUGUGAUUGUGGGAAAGAUUCUAUCGGCGUGGGAUGGGGUCGCGUCCUAUCAGCUUGUUGGUGAGGUAACGGCUCACCAAGGCUUCGACGGGUAGCCGGCCUGAGAGGGCGACCGGCCACAUUGGGACUGAGAUACGGCCCAGACUCCUACGGGAGGCAGCAGUGGGGAAUAUUGCACAAUGGGCGCAAGCCUGAUGCAGCGACGCCGCGUGAGGGAUGGAGGCCUUCGGGUUGUAAACCUCUUUUGUUUGGGAGCAAGCCUUCGGGUGAGUGUACCUUUCGAAUAAGCGCCGGCUAACUACGUGCCAGCAGCCGCGGUAAUACGUAGGGCGCAAGCGUUAUCCGGAUUUAUUGGGCGUAAAGGGCUCGUAGGCGGCUCGUCGCGUCCGGUGUGAAAGUCCAUCGCUUAACGGUGGAUCUGCGCCGGGUACGGGCGGGCUGGAGUGCGGUAGGGGAGACUGGAAUUCCCGGUGUAACGGUGGAAUGUGUAGAUAUCGGGAAGAACACCGAUGGCGAAGGCAGGUCUCUGGGCCGUCACUGACGCUGAGGAGCGAAAGCGUGGGGAGCGAACAGGAUUAGAUACCCUGGUAGUCC
Molecule: ribosomal RNA, 726 nt
Filed under: Bifidobacterium sp. HGH0136
Lineage: Bacteria; Bacillati; Actinomycetota; Actinomycetes; Bifidobacteriales; Bifidobacteriaceae
Description: bacterial SSU rRNA
Rfam family: Bacterial small subunit ribosomal RNA
Source: RNAcentral